GUCGAACGAGUUCUCGUUGAUGAUCGGUGCUUGCACCGAGAUUCAACAUGGAACGAGUGGCGGACGGGUGAGUAACACGUGGGUAACCUGCCCUUAAGUGGGGGAUAACAUUUGGAAACAGAUGCUAAUACCGCAUAGAUCCAAGAACCGCAUGGUUCUUGGCUGAAAGAUGGCGUAAGCUAUCGCUUUUGGAUGGACCCGCGGCGUAUUAGCUAGUUGGUGAGGUAAUGGCUCACCAAGGCGAUGAUACGUAGCCGAACUGAGAGGUUGAUCGGCCACAUUGGGACUGAGACACGGCCCAAACUCCUACGGGAGGCAGCAGUAGGGAAUCUUCCACAAUGGACGCAAGUCUGAUGGAGCAACGCCGCGUGAGUGAAGAAGGCUUUCGGGUCGUAAAACUCUGUUGUUGGAGAAGAAUGGUCGGCAGAGUAACUGUUGUCGGCGUGACGGUAUCCAACCAGAAAGCCACGGCUAACUACGUGCCAGCAGCCGCGGUAAUACGUAGGUGGCAAGCGUUAUCCGGAUUUAUUGGGCGUAAAGCGAGCGCAGGCGGUUUUUUAAGUCUGAUGUGAAAGCCCUCGGCUUAACCGAGGAAGCGCAUCGGAAACUGGGAAACUUGAGUGCAGAAGAGGACAGUGGAACUCCAUGUGUAGCGGUGAAAUGCGUAGAUAUAUGGAAGAACACCAGUGGCGAAGGCGGCUGUCUGGUCUGUAACUGACGCUGAGGCUCGAAAGCAUGGGUAGCGAACAGGAUUAGAUACCCUGGUAGUCCAUGCCGUAAACGAUGAAUGCUAGGUGUUGGAGGGUUUCCGCCCUUCAGUGCCGCAGCUAACGCAUUAAGCAUUCCGCCUGGGGAGUACGACCGCAAGGUUGAAACUCAAAGGAAUUGACGGGGGCCCGCACAAGCGGUGGAGCAUGUGGUUUAAUUCGAAGCAACGCGAAGAACCUUACCAGGUCUUGACAUCUUUUGAUCACCUGAGAGAUCAGGUUUCCCCUUCGGGGGCAAAAUGACAGGUGGUGCAUGGUUGUCGUCAGCUCGUGUCGUGAGAUGUUGGGUUAAGUCCCGCAACGAGCGCAACCCUUAUGACUAGUUGCCAGCAUUUAGUUGGGC
Molecule: ribosomal RNA, 1110 nt
Filed under: Lacticaseibacillus paracasei
Lineage: Bacteria; Bacillati; Bacillota; Bacilli; Lactobacillales; Lactobacillaceae
Description: bacterial SSU rRNA
Rfam family: Bacterial small subunit ribosomal RNA
Source: RNAcentral